AUUGAACGCUGGCGGCAGGCCUAACACAUGCAAGUCGAGCGGAUGAAGGGAGCUUUCUCCUGGAUUCAGCGGCGGACGGGUGAGUAAUGCCUAGGAAUCUGCCUGGUCGUGGGGGAUAACGUCCGGAAACGGGCGCUAAUACCGCAUACGUCCUGAGGGAGAAAGUGGGGGAUCUUCGGACCUCACGCUAUCAGAUGAGCCUAGGUCGGAUUAGCUAGUUGGUGGGGUAAAGGCCUACCAAGGCGACGAUCCGUAACUGGUCUGAGAGGAUGAUCAGUCACACUGGAACUGAGACACGGUCCAGACUCCUACGGGAGGCAGCAGUGGGGAAUAUUGGACAAUGGGCGAAAGCCUGAUCCAGCCAUGCCGCGUGUGUGAAGAAGGUCUUCGGAUUGUAAAGCACUUUAAGUUGGGAGGAAGAGCAGUAAGUUAAUACCUUGCUGUUUUGACGUUACCAACAGAAUAAGCACCGGCUAACUUCGUG
This 484-nucleotide ribosomal RNA is filed under the name uncultured bacterium. RNAcentral's name for it is "partial 16S ribosomal RNA". It matches the Rfam family "Bacterial small subunit ribosomal RNA", at positions 30 to 507 of the family's 1533-position model. The record is from RNAcentral.